This 521-nucleotide ribosomal RNA is filed under the name uncultured bacterium. RNAcentral's name for it is "bacterial SSU rRNA". It matches the Rfam family "Bacterial small subunit ribosomal RNA", at positions 32 to 518 of the family's 1533-position model. The record is from RNAcentral.
CGAGGACGACGCUGGCGGCGUGCCUAAUACAUGCAAGUCGAACGGUCUUUUCUAUGGAAGCUUGCUUCCACUGAGAAGAUAGUGGCGAACGGGUGAGUAACACGUGGGUAACCUGCCCAUAAGAGGGGGAUAACAUCCGGAAACGGGUGCUAAUACCGCAUAGUUUUCUUGAUCGCAUGAUCGGGAAAGGAAAGACGGCCUUUGUGCUGUCGCUUAUGGAUGGACCCGCGGCGUAUUAGUUAGUUGGUGAGGUAACGGCUCACCAAGACGAUGAUACGUAGCCGACCUGAGAGGGUGAUCGGCCACAUUGGGACUGAGACACGGCCCAAACUCCUACGGGAGGCAGCAGUAGGGAAUCUUCCGCAAUGGACGAAAGUCUGACGGAGCAACGCCGCGUGAGUGAAAGAAGGUUUUCGGAUCGUAAAACUCUGUUGUCAGAGAAGAACAAGUUGGAGAGUAACUGCUCCAGCCUUGACGGUAUCUGACCAGAAAGCCACGGCUAACUACGUGCCAGCCGCCGC